UCAGAUUAUAUCCUGUCUGAUUGGACAGUAUAUAAGUAUAAUUUCAAUGAUGAUUAAGUCAGACUGAUCAACAGUGUUGUACGAAUAAUUCGCAACCAACUACUAAAAUAAUAGAAUACCUGAAUAUAUAUAUAUAUAACCGUUAAGCAGUAAAAAAAUUUUAAAAAUGAAAAUUUUCAUAAUUUGUUUUCUAUUAUGUUUUAUUAUUUCCAUCGAAGGAAAGAAGAACCAACCAGAACCCGUUUAUAUAUACUACCACUCAAAUGAUGUAGCCAAAUUAAAUUGCCCAAAUGAUGAUUUUAAAGAAGUUAACUAUACUGGACGGUGCAUGGGAUUUGCAGAUUCAGGAUCAUUAAGAUUGAAACCAAUGCAGUGCAAUGGAAAGGCUUAUAGAUGUAAGAUGUAAAUCUACAUGAUUUCGAAUAAUUUGAAAAAAAAUAUAUGUUUCUUUAAUAAGUGAAUUACGAAUCACUUCGAUUAAAAUUUUCAGAAUAUAUUUCUUAUAUUUGUAAAAUCAGAGUUUCUUUGUACGAAUUUUAAUCAAUGCACACAAAAUUUAAUAAAGUUUAAAAUACAUUUAUUAAAAACUUUAAAAAAAAAUUAUUUUCUUUGAGAUGAAAAUUUUAUAUUUAAUUUUGACAGAGAGAAUAAGUUAAUGAUUUAAUAGAAAAUAUAAAAAUUAAUUCGAGGUUAUUAAAAAGCGUUUAAAACUGCCAUAGAAUAGGAGUCGAAUUAUUUUGUAAACAUAAAAGAUCCUAGAUAUUCUUAACUACCCAACCUUAUCCCCUGACCUCUACUUCAUAUCAUCUUUUGACAUUUUGUAAAAUAAAUAAAUCUGAAAUAAAUACCAAUUUUCAAAAUGUUUA
This is a long non-coding RNA of Leptopilina boulardi, 866 nucleotides long. RefSeq lists it as uncharacterized. The transcript is spliced from 2 exons. The record is from RefSeq and is a predicted model, not a curated record. Lineage: Eukaryota; Metazoa; Arthropoda; Insecta; Hymenoptera; Figitidae.